Helianthus annuus (common sunflower) is the source of this 3226-nucleotide RNA transcript. RefSeq lists it as uncharacterized. The transcript is spliced from 4 exons. The record is from RefSeq and is a predicted model, not a curated record. NCBI's taxonomy places the organism in Eukaryota, Viridiplantae, Streptophyta, Magnoliopsida, Asterales, Asteraceae.
ACUAGGGAUCUUUCCACCGCCAAACCUCAACACAACAGUCAAAGCACCGACAUUUGUUCUCUUACCAUCUUCUUACUCUCUCAAACACCAAACCUACAAACAAAGGAUCUUUAAUGGCGGUGAAAGUCUCCAACAACGCCUAGGGGGUUUCGAUGAUGAUGAACGGCGACAACGAGGAUUCCGAUCUAGGGUUCCGACGACCAUUCCAUAGGGUACGAUGAGGGCCAGGAGACACUAAUCAGCAACCGGUAGGUCAAGUGUUGACAUCACAUUCUGCGGCUUACGUCGGUGUUUACGACAGUCACGUUGGGCCUGGAGCGUCGAGAUUCAUCACGAAGCAUCUCUUCAGUACCUACAGAGCUUAUUUGUUGUUUGAUUGUAAGAUAUUAAGUCUGGAAGAUGUGAAGUGUCUUGAUUCAUCACUAAUCAUCUCUUCUCUUACCUACAGAACCUAAAGAACCGCCAUCCGAGUUGGGGUUGGAUAAUCAGCAACUAAUAAGUGAAACUGGAACGAAUCUACAUUUGUAAGUUUUGAUAUGUGUUUGUGAUUGUAAUAAUUAUAUUUAUUUGAUCUACAUUAGUUGAUUUGAUUAUUAUUUUUUUUGUUGUGAAUGAAGAAGAUCUUCUGUACAGGGAUUACCUUAAAAUUUCACCAUCACCACCUAUUCACCUACUGGAGUUGUGAAUUUUCUCUUUGAUUACUUAUUGUUUCUUUAUUGUUAAUAACAUGUUACUGUUUAUGAUUGUAGCCUUUUGUUUUAUCAGUUUGUUAAGUUUUAUAUAUGAGCUUACGUGUAUUCUCCAAAAGUUGCAAAUGUUAGGGUUUGGUUGUCCGUGUUGUAAUAACAGCUAAGGGUAAAGGUGUAAGUUAGAAAGUUAGCAUCGGUCUUCAUCGUCGUCUAUUGGUAUAUUUGCUGUCAGAAUGUCUAAUAUGAAUUCGUAUUCUGUCCUGUUUAGGAUGGUUAUUAAUUUUUCCAGUGGAUUUAGUAGUUUUAUGACCUUAAAAGUAUGGAUUGUAUGAUUGAGUCAUUUGGGGAAGGAGUUGUAAAACAGCACGUCAAGUCAUCAGCACUUAGUUGUGGUCACUUAUGUGGGUUCUACCCUUCAUAUGGAACAUCGUUUCAACAUUCAACCAGCAGGCAAUCCACCAUGCCGAUGCACUACAAACCUGAUGGGAAGAAGAAGGAAGGGAACGCUGCUAGAUACAUCUCUAGAUCACAAGUUGUCAAGUAUCUUCAUGUUAGUUAAUCCGUUUUCAGGUAUUGUUUUUAAUUCAAUCUUAUGACAGUGACGGUUCGGUUUAGAACUGUGAAAUCAUUCAAACCAGUCAUCGGUUUAGUUUCCUGGUCGGGUUUUUUCUUUAUCUUUCGGUUGGUUGGUUUCAAAAAUUUCAAACCGUAGUGAACGGUUUAGUUUGCGGUUUAUACCGAAAACCGACCGUGUAAAACCGGACCGCAUCAUGAUAUUGAUAUAUAUAUGUAUAUACAUAUAAGACAUGUUUUAUAUUAGUUAUUAAAUUUAUAUGAAUACUAUCGACAUACUUGAAUUAAUACUGGUUGUAAGUUGGUGAGUAUUGGUUUAACAUAAGUACAAGCGGCCAAGUGGGCUUAAUUGAAAUGCAAUAUGAUGGUUGAAUUUUAAUUCAAAGCUGUGAACUAUGAAGUCAGAAAUGCUAAAUAUUUAGAUUUGAAGCUUUUGGCCUUCCCAGUUCACACUCAUGCAGCCUACCACUUACACAGAUAACAUUUUCUAACUCGAAGUUAUAAUGUUUAUUAUGUAUAUUGUUUAGUCCACUAUUUGUUAUCCUUUUGAAGGUUUUUUAACUCCAAUCUAUAAUGUUUAGAUUUGAUAAUCUUUAAAGUCAAAUAAACAUAGUUACCCACAAAGAAAACGAGCUACAAUACCAUUUUUUUGAUGAAACAGCCCCAAGGUUUAAACCAUGGAACCAAACUGUUAGUCACGGUUACGUUUAAAUUUUCAAGGUUUGGUUUUAGUUUAGAAUGAUUAAAAACCGUUACCAACGGUUGGCUCAUGGUUUGACCUAAAAACCGUAAAACUGGACCGUGAACACCCCUAACAAUAAGUAUUUAGAAGCUUUUAAUAUUAAUUGGUCACUUUCACAAAAUUCAUACGGUAUCAGCUUUAGAGUAAACAGUUAGAAUAUAUUAAUAAGUGCCUUUGUCAUAAUAGUAUUAAAAGUGAUGCACUUUAGACUACAACUAUGUGCUUUGUUAUAACGGUUUAAACUGAUUAGUUAGUUUACGGUGUAACUUUAACAGAUUAAGAAAAUGAGCACCAACUUUUAUAGUUCAACAUAAUUUUAUUUUUAUGCGGUCAUAUUUAUCAUUGUAAGUUUAGAGGAUUAAUAUGCACAAAAUAAAAUUUAACAUAUCGUUUUGUGUCAACCGCACGGUAUUACAAUAUUUUUUAGAUAAUUACAAGCGAAUUUAUUUUUGAAAAUGACCCAUUUUAUCCUAAAAGCUUUUGACCCGUUACCCAACCUAGGCUACCCACCCACUUUAGCAAAACCGCUCAUAAGCUUUUUGAGAACGAGGUUGGAAAUAAGUACAAUGACUUUGUUGUUUUUAGUGAAAUUAUUUGUAAACACGAGAAAUGGAGUUUACAAGUGCAUCAUGACACAACACGUUCAUUUUCUGAGAUGGGUAAUGAAGAAUGUGGUGGUAGUUUUAAAAGAUCAAGGAAUACUGAAGAAGGAGGCUAUUCCACCCCAGAAACACCAACUAGUGGCGGUUCAACAAGUCAGCGUCCAAUAGGCAGGGAUGCUGCUAAAACAAAAGGAAAAAGUAAGUUUUAUGCUAAUAUACUUGCAGAAGAAAUUCAUGCAUUCAGGCUUACUAGAGAUAUUGAAGUUGAUAUCAUGAAAAAGAAAUACGAGUUGGAGCAGCAAAAGAAGCAAAAAAAAAAAAAGAGGAAAUAGAGCAAAAGAAAAUCGAGUUGGAGCAACACAAGAUACUCAAAAAGGAAGAAAUAAAGCUAAGGAAAAUGGAACUUACAAAUCUUACUACAUUGUUACAAAAGGAGCACUUGACCCAGGAGAAGAAAACAUGAAAUGUUUUCUAAUGUCGAAAUACUAUGGAAACUGAAUUUAGUUUGUUGUGUGCUUUGUUUUAGUUUGGUGUGAGUUUUAUGUUAUGUUUGUUUUAUGCAUUUGUAAGAUAUUCAGUUAUGAUGUGUGUUAUAAGUUGGAUGCUAGGAUUUUAUCUUA